CUGACGAGUGGCGGACGGGUGAGUAAUGUCUGGGAAACUGCCUGAUGGAGGGGGAUAACUACUGGAAACGGUAGCUAAUACCGCAUAACGUCGCAAGACCAAAGAGGGGGACCUUCGGGCCUCUUGCCAUCGGAUGUGCCCAGAUGGGAUUAGCUAGUAGGUGGGGUAACGGCUCACCUAGGCGACGAUCCCUAGCUGGUCUGAGAGGAUGACCAGCCACACUGGAACUGAGACACGGUCCAGACUCCUACGGGAGGCAGCAGUGGGGAAUAUUGCACAAUGGGCGCAAGCCUGAUGCAGCCAUGCCGCGUGUAUGAAGAAGGCCUUCGGGUUGUAAAGUACUUUCAGCGGGGAGGAAGGGAGUAAAGUUAAUACCUUUGCUCAUUGACGUUACCCGCAGAAGAAGCACCGGCUAACUCCGUGCCAGCAGCCGCGGUAAUACGGAGGGUGCAAGCGUUAAUCGGAAUUACUGGGCGUAAAGCGCACGCAGGCGGUUUGUUAAGUCAGAUGUGAAAUCCCCGGGCUCAACCUGGGAACUGCAUCUGAUACUGGCAAGCUUGAGUCUCGUAGAGGGGGGU
RNAcentral lists this ribosomal RNA (578 nucleotides) under Escherichia coli. RNAcentral's name for it is "bacterial SSU rRNA". It matches the Rfam family "Bacterial small subunit ribosomal RNA", at positions 88 to 662 of the family's 1533-position model. The record is from RNAcentral. Lineage: Bacteria; Pseudomonadati; Pseudomonadota; Gammaproteobacteria; Enterobacterales; Enterobacteriaceae.